Molecule: long non-coding RNA, 936 nt
Organism: Lynx canadensis (Canada lynx)
Lineage: Eukaryota; Metazoa; Chordata; Mammalia; Carnivora; Felidae
Exons: 6
Source: RefSeq, a predicted model, not a curated record
CCUUCUCGGGUUCCAGCCCAGGGCAUGUGUCCUUGGGCGGUUAAUGUCCGCGUGUUCAGAGCCUGGUAUCUCAGCUGGCAUGACAGACUCAAGAUGGCAGAGGUGAGGAAACGGAAGCCCUGAGAAGUUUAAUGUCGUACGGGAUUGCUGUAGAGCUGGGACUUGCACCCGGGCCUCUGGGUGCUAACGUCAAUGAGCUUCACUGUGGCGUUGUACUGCAUGGAGAAGAUCCUGGAAAGGCUUGCAACAAUUUCCAAAGCGGGGAAAGAGUCCUCCUGUUAGAGCAGGUUGGAAACCACUGAGCUGGGCUGUGGAGGCAGCAUGUUAUACCCCCUCAGCAGAGACAGAGUCAUGAGACCUGAGACCCGCACAUCUUUAUUGGAGCGUCUAAUACAAACACCGAGAUGAGCUGGUCAAAACCAACCCCAUGGCGCACCACCGCCAAGUUUCCUCCAGCUUGAUCUGCAUUCCUUGGAUUGAAAGUACCUGUGUAAUCUCCACCCGGACCAGGAUACAGGACAUUUCCAGCACCCUGCAAGGUUCCCUCGUGCUCCCUCCUGGUCUAUUCUCCUCCCCAGAGCCCUAUGAAGAAUGUUGCAGAACAGCAUUUCCGGUAUGAUGUUCCACGGACCCAAGCCUCAAGAAGAUUCCUCAAGGGAUUUCAUAGUGAAAUAUGUUUAGGAAAUGCCAGGCUCCUCUUGAUGAUUCACAAUGUACAUUAGUAAAUUAAAGACUCUGAGAAAUUCUCCAGGAAAGAAGCCCAUUUCAGUUGGCAUAAGUCAGUACAUCCCAAACAGGUGGGGAAGGACUCUGCUCUCAAUAGCAGAAUGGCUCUGGGGUUCUGUGGGACCAGUUUGGGAAACACUGUGAUAGCCGACUCACGAAUAAAGAGCUGAGUGAAAAGCACAGGUUCUGAGAAUCUCCGCAGCAUGAUGG